GACGAACGCUGGCGGCGUGCUUAACACAUGCAAGUCGUGCGGUAAGGCCCUUUCGGGGGUACCCGAGCGGCGAAAGGGUGGGUAACACGUGAGCAACCUGCCCUUCACUUUGGGAUAACUGCCGGAAACGGUGGCUAAUACCGGAUAUGACUUCCUCACGCAUGUGGGGUGGUGGAAAGCCUUCGGGUGGUGGGGGAUGGGCUCGCGGCCUAUCAGCUUGUUGGUGGGGUGGUGGCCUACCAAGGCUUCGACGCGUAGCCGGCCUGGGAGGGUGACCGGCCCCGCUGGGACUGAGACACGGCCCAGACUCCUACGGGAGGCAGCAGUGGGGAAUAUUGGACAGUGGGCGAAAGCCUGGUCCAGCCACGCCGCGUGGGGGAUGACGGGCUUCGGUUUGUAAUCCUCUUUCGCCUGCGACGAAGCGAGAGUGACGGUAGCAGGUAAAGAAGCACCGGCCAACUACGUG
Molecule: ribosomal RNA, 466 nt
Filed under: uncultured bacterium
Lineage: Bacteria
Description: partial 16S ribosomal RNA
Rfam family: Bacterial small subunit ribosomal RNA
Source: RNAcentral